AUUGAACGCUGGCGGCAUGCUUUACACAUGCAAGUCGAACGGCAGCAUGGGUGCUUGCACCUGAUGGCGAGUGGCGAACGGGUGAGUAAUGUAUCGGAACAUAUCCGCAAGUGGGGGAUAACGUAGCGAAAGUUACGCUAAUACCGCAUAUUCCCUGAGGGGGAAAGGAGGGGAUCCGCAAGGACCUUUCGCUUACGGAGUGGCCGACAUCAGAUUAGCUAGUUGGUGGGGUAAAGGCCUACCAAGGCGACGAUCUGUAGCGGGUCUGAGAGGAUGAUCGGCGAAACUGGGACUGAGACACGGCCCAGACGCCUGCGGGAGGAAGAAGUGGGGAAUUUUGGACAAUGGGGGCAACCCUGAUCCAGCCAUGCCGCGUGAGUGAAGAAGGCCGUCGGGUUGUAAAGCUCUUUCAGCUGGAAAAAAAUCGCAUCACCUAAUACGUGGUGUGGAUGAUGGUACCAGCAGAAGAAGCACCGGCUAACUACGUGCCAGCCGCCGCAGUAA
This 504-nucleotide ribosomal RNA is filed under the name uncultured bacterium. RNAcentral's name for it is "partial 16S ribosomal RNA". It matches the Rfam family "Bacterial small subunit ribosomal RNA", at positions 30 to 523 of the family's 1533-position model. The record is from RNAcentral.